RNAcentral lists this long non-coding RNA (223 nucleotides) under Volvox carteri. Its description in RNAcentral is "long non-coding RNA (VCAR_LNC001472)". The record is from RNAcentral. Lineage: Eukaryota; Viridiplantae; Chlorophyta; Chlorophyceae; Chlamydomonadales; Volvocaceae.
CUCAAUUUGCCCUUUACAGCUGUGUGGAACAACCCCCACACAACCCCCACCCCCCAUGGACUGGGACAUGCAAUUGGACAAAGUCUGGACUCGAUUCCAACGCAUUUCCAUGCUGUACCUCUCCAUUUUUGGGCGUGUGCCACGCCUUAUCAUAUUUGGGGAUUCUGGGGCCGUUUAUCUGCGUGCAUAUAUUAUGAGCUGAGUGAACUUGUCACGAUCAUUU